RNAcentral lists this ribosomal RNA (445 nucleotides) under uncultured bacterium. RNAcentral describes it as "partial 16S ribosomal RNA". It matches the Rfam family "Bacterial small subunit ribosomal RNA", at positions 354 to 796 of the family's 1533-position model. The record is from RNAcentral.
GUGGGGAAUUUUGGACAAUGGGCGCAAGCCUGAUCCAGCAAUGCCGCGUGCAGGAAGAAGGCCCUCAGGGUUGUAAACGGCUUUUGACGGUGAAGAACCGACAGGAUGCGUCCUGUUUUGACGGUAGCCGUUGAAUAAGCACCGGCUAACUCCGUGCCAGCAGCCGCGGUAAUACGGAGGGUGCAAGCGUUAAUCGGAAUUACUGGGCGUAAAGCGUGCGCAGGCGGUUUUGUAAGACAGGCGUGAAAUCCCCGGGCUCAACCUGGGAAUGGCGCUUGUGACUGCAAGGCUGGAGUGCAGCAGAGGGGGAUGGAAUUCCGCGUGUAGCAGUGAAAUGCGUAGAUAUGCGGAGGAACACCGAUGGCGAAGGCAAUCCCCUGGGCCUGCACUGACGCUCAUGCACGAAAGCGUGGGGAGCAAACAGGAUUAGAUACCCGAGUAGUCC